Callithrix jacchus (white-tufted-ear marmoset) is the source of this 2852-nucleotide non-coding RNA. The record is from RefSeq and is a predicted model, not a curated record. NCBI's taxonomy places the organism in Eukaryota, Metazoa, Chordata, Mammalia, Primates, Cebidae.
GGACAUCUGGGCUGUCACAGACCUGGAGCUACCAGUAUUUACAGGAAGGUUUUCCAUCUCAGCCUCUGUCCUAGGGAGUAUCUGACCCAAAGUACAAGACCUUGACUUCACCUGGGCAGGAUCUCCAGGAAGUUUAUAGAGCAUGACUCUGGCUGCCUGGCAAGGAAGGCAUCUGUAGGGGAAACCAGGACAAAGGGAAACAGGUCAGGAAGUGGAGGAGGCAAUAAGUUUAAGCUGCUGAAGAAGAGUUCAAGGGAGGAAAAUGAUUCCAGCCUCUGCUUAGAUCUCUGCUGGAUCCGACCUUGAAGGACAGUUCCACUCACAAGAGCAGAAUCGCUCUUUUCCCUGCAGAGGGCAAUCCCCAAGAGGCUUAGCAGUCCAUGUGUCUGAGCAAAGACAGCAAGUAAAGACAGUCCCAGAGGUGGCUGUCGCAGCCCAAACCCCAGCUACCUCAGCCUGAGGCCAAAGUAAAGAGAAAGUAAUGGCUGAACUUAGUAGAACUAAGCAUUAUAAAACCCAUAUUAUUUAAUUCAGCUUCAAACAUAACCCAAAGCUAAAAAUCAGAGGGCAUACAUUUUUAAAUAGCUGAAUCCUAAAGAGAUUAAAAUUCUUUGAGCAAAAUUUUGAGAAUGCAUGUCUUUGCUUCUUGUUACAUAAUUAAGGGUAAAAAAAAUAGAAAAUAUUUGCAAGUCGUAGACCUACAUGAGACUUCUGCUUUUCAAAACCUGUAGUAAUAGGGACUAGAUUUUUCCUCCUACCUGAAUCAACUGAAAAACUACACAAGAUAUGUGGAAAAAAAAGGUGGUUUUCAAGACAGUGGAGAUCAGACAGUUACAGACAGAAAUCCUUGAGAAAUAGGAGCAAGUGAUAUGAACCUAGCUUACUGCUUUGAGAGAGUUUACAGGUCUUGGCAUGGGAAGGAGGAACCCAGGCUGAGCCUGGCAGACACUUGAAGCUGAGGAAACCGAGCUAGAAGUCCAAAAAGAAUGAGCCAGCUAGAAUUCAAAGGGCAGAUAGAGGAGAGGAAGAAGCUGCACACAGGGAGAACUCUAGAGGGUCUCUCUUGAGUAUUCCAUGGAGUACUGAUGAGCUCAAGCAUGUGAGAAACCACCAAAAGCCGGGAAGAGAACCAUCAGAAAGGGUCAGAGGAAACACUGCCCAGUACUCAUUCAGAACCUGGAAUAGGGAAUGUGCUGGCCAGCCAGAUGCAAAACCUCCUAUUUCACAGGACACUGAGGGGUAGAAUACUUAGAAGUGUCUUGCUUCAGGAAUAAGAAAUAAUUAGCCUUAGAAUGACCACUGUUCUGGUCCCACCUAAUGAGCCUUAAAAAAAAGACCUGAAAGAAUCAAACUGUUUCCAAGUAACUUAAUUGUGUCCAAGACAUAAGCAAAAGAAUAUUUAUGGGAAUAUAGUAUUAUCUAUAGCCUACAUGGUAAAAUACAAAUGUCUGGCAUACAUUAAAAAAUUUCUGGUGUGCAAAGAAGCAGGAACAUAUGAUCCAAUAUGAGGAGAAAAAUCAAUCAAUUUAAACCACCCUACAACUAAUACAGAUGUUAGAAUUCUCAAUUGAGAAAGAGCAUUAAAACACUUAUUAAGACUAUAUUCCAUAUGCCCAAGAAGCUAGAGGAAAGAUGAACUAUGUUAAGUGAAGAUAUGCAAGAUAUUAACUUGAACUUCUAGAGAUGAAAACAACAAUAUCUCCAGUAAAAUUUAUGUUGGCUUUAUAUAGCAGAUUAGACACUGAAGAAGAAAAGAUUAGUGACAUGAAGACAUUGUCAUAAGAAGCUAUCUCAAAUGAAACACAGAGAGUUUUAAAAAAGAAAAUAAUUUUAAAAAUGAAAAUACAAUCAGCAAGCAAUGAGACAACUCCAAGUAGUCUCAGGUAUAGGUAACUGAAAAACCCCAAAGAGGUGAGAGAACCUUCAAAGAAAUGUUUCAAAGAAAAGUUUGUUUCACAAAGUCUGACAAACUCCAAGCACAAGGAACAUGAAGGAAACGACACCAAGGCACAUGAAAAUCAAAAAUUACUAGCCACGCAUGGUGGCCCACACCUGUAAUCUUAGCACUUUGGAAUUACCUGAGGCAGUUGGAUUACCUGAGGUCAGGAGUUCAAGAUCGGUCUAGUCAACAUGGUGAAAUCAUGUCUGUACUAAAAAUACAAAAAUUAGCUGAACGUAGUAUGGCAAGAAAAUCACUUGAACCUAGGAGGCAGUGGUUGCAGUGAGCUGAGAUCACAUCACUGCACUCCAGCCUGGGUGCCAGAAGAAGACUCCAUCUCAAAAGAAAAGAAAAACAAAAAGAAAGAAAGAAAGAAAUUACCAAACACUAAUGACUUAAAAAAAAAAAAAAAAACCUUAAGAUCAUCCAAAGAAAAAAGAACAUUACAUAUAGAGUUAACAAAGAUAAGAAUGGCAGAUUUCUCCUUGGAAAUAGUCCAGGUAAGAAGACAGGUUACUCAAGAAAAAUCAUGUGGGUAAGCAUUGAAUAUUUUAUUUAUUUAUUAUCUGAAUCUUUAAAAAAGACAAUUGACUAAACAAAAAAGUUAACAAUGUUGUGUGGGAUUUAUAACAACGACCUGGAAGAGUACAAACAUAAACACCUGUUACUAUAAAACUGAGUAGUUUGUAGACAAAGAGCUGCCUGAGAGAUUUUCCUUUAACUAUGAUGAGUGACUUUUAUGGAGCCUUUAACCUGAGUAACAGAACAGCUGUUUACUGUUGUCAGAGGAAAUAGCAUAUACUCACUGUAUAUUUAUUAUAAGAAAUUUACUAGUGUGAUAUUUAAGACUUCACUGCUUUUCUUAUAGUAGUUCAUUCAAUAUUAAAACUUUUCAGUUUCCUUUAGGCUUAGC